GUGGAACUUGGGAAAGAAUAAUAUUGAAUAUUUUAAAGGGGGGGAGGGAGCAGAAGAUGGAAAGCGAAGGUUGGGACUGUCGCUGGAAUUGUUGGGAAUGUGCACGUUCUGCUUUUCUUUUUUUGUCGAUGUGUAUCGGUAGUAUGAAAACUUUUAGACGUGUGACGAUUUGUAGGUGGUAGAAAGAGGAGUCUAUUUUUCUUGAUGACGCUCGAUAAGGGGAUGUGAUAGAAUGUGAAUGUGUUUGAAUGCACAGAACUUUCAGCAAGGGAUUUGUUGGUUCUCGCAUGGAUGAAGAACGUAGCGAAUUGCGAUAAGUAAUGUGAAUUGCAGAUUUUGAGUGAAUUAUUGAAUGUUUGAAAGCAUUUUGUGUUGAUUGGUAUUACGAGGAGCAUGGCUGUUUGAGUGUGAUAGAAAUUUCAAGUAAGUCUUGAUCGAUUUUAAGGCGGAUGGCUUGGAUUUGGGAGAUUGAUGGGAGUUGCGGGUUAGGUUUUAUGAAAUGUAUUAGCAAGAGGGGGAUGGCAAGUGUUUUUCGACGUGGAGGGAUUUGGAGGUGAUAAUGAUGGUGGUGGGUGGAGUGUGGGAUAUGCAUGGAUGGAAUGCGAGGUUGCUUGUAAUGCUAAUGGGUGGAGAGGGAGCGCUUUGAGGAUUGAUGGGUUUAGAGGUAUAUUAAAGGGGGGGAGAGAUUAGGGAAAUGUUGGGGUGGGGUGGUUUCGAUGU
This 720-nucleotide small RNA is filed under the name uncultured Boletus. RNAcentral's name for it is "eukaryotic LSU rRNA". The stretch from base 257 to 411 matches the Rfam family "5.8S ribosomal RNA". The record is from RNAcentral. Lineage: Eukaryota; Fungi; Basidiomycota; Agaricomycetes; Boletales; Boletaceae.